RNAcentral lists this long non-coding RNA (875 nucleotides) under Nicotiana benthamiana. RNAcentral describes it as "long non-coding RNA (NBEN_LNC027848)". Lineage: Eukaryota; Viridiplantae; Streptophyta; Magnoliopsida; Solanales; Solanaceae. The record is from RNAcentral.
CCAAGACCAACCCCUCCAAAUCUGACCACACGCCCCCCCUCUUCCCCUCAUUUUUUUGUUUCAUUUCAUUAUACUAUACAUAAACAAAACCCUAAUCCUCUCAAAACCUAUACCUAGCCGCCACCCUCACGCUACUUUUCUUCUUCUCCGACCAAAUGACACCCUCAUGCCGGAGACAACCACCCCCACAAAGAAUCAGGUAUCAAGUAUGACCAUGUCCGUGCUCUGUUCCUAUGGCUUUUGAAUUCCUUAGAAUUGAAAAACCUAAGUCUUCAUUUUUUUUCAGCCAUCAACACACCCAAAAGGACCACUACCACACGCCCCGCUUCUUCCCCUCAUUUUUUUGUUUCAUUUCAUUAUACUAUACAUACACAAAACCCUAAUCCUCUCAAAACCUAUACCUAGCCGCCACCCUCACGCUACUCUUCUUCUUCUCCGACCAAAUGACACCCUCAUGCCGGAGACAACCACCCCCAAAAAGAAUCAGGUAUCAAGUAUGACCAUGUCCGUGCUCUGUUCCUAUGGCUUUUGAAUUCCUUAGAAUUGAAAAACCUAAGUCUUCAUUUUUUUUCAGCCAUCAACACACCCAAAAGGACCACCCUAAAUCGCUAGAAUCUAGAGCAAAAUGCAACGACCACUCCACCCCUUCAAAACUCAUAAAUAACCCUAACCCUUAACCCCCGAUUUCCUAAUUCACUGCCGCCGAUCUCAUUCGAGAAAGCUCAAGAGGAGGUCGCUAAGGUUUCUGCUUUUGUUUUGGUUUCGAGAUCUCACUAGAGACGUCAACUUUGAGUUUGCUGCUUGCGGUACUGUCCGAAGCACCGUCGAGUGAUUCCGUUGAGGUUCUAUUUGAGAUCGUUAAUCUCUAUUCCCGG